CAUAGUUGCGAUCCCGGGAUCUUGCUUCCUCUUUGGUUGGAGAUUCGGUAGAGAAUCUUAGUGCGUGGGACUUGGUGAACCCGACAGUGUAGCUCGGAGCCAGCUAGGAGGAGCAAGUCCUAGCCAUGUGCACAUGUUUUCUAUAGUAGCG
This is a long non-coding RNA of Dioscorea cayenensis subsp. rotundata (Guinea yam), 151 nucleotides long. RefSeq lists it as uncharacterized. The transcript is spliced from 3 exons. The record is from RefSeq and is a predicted model, not a curated record. Lineage: Eukaryota; Viridiplantae; Streptophyta; Magnoliopsida; Dioscoreales; Dioscoreaceae.